RNAcentral lists this ribosomal RNA (1250 nucleotides) under Sugarcane yellow leaf disease phytoplasma. RNAcentral's name for it is "bacterial SSU rRNA". It matches the Rfam family "Bacterial small subunit ribosomal RNA", at positions 144 to 1394 of the family's 1533-position model. The record is from RNAcentral. Lineage: Bacteria; Bacillati; Mycoplasmatota; Mollicutes; Acholeplasmatales; Acholeplasmataceae. RNAcentral also lists the same sequence under 1 other name.
UAACAGUUGGAAACGACUGCUAAGACUGGAUAGGAGACAAGAAGGCAUCUUCUUGUUUUUAAAAGACCUAGCAAUAGGUAUGCUUAGGGAGGAGCUUGCGUCACAUUAGUUAGUUGGUGGGGUAAAGGCCUACCAAGACUAUGAUGUGUAGCCGGGCUGAGAGGUUGAACGGCCACAUUGGGACUGAGACACGGCCCAAACUCCUACGGGAGGCAGCAGUAGGGAAUUUUCGGCAAUGGAGGAAACUCUGACCGAGCAACGCCGCGUGAACGAUGAAGUAUUUCGGUACGUAAAGUUCUUUUAUUAGGGAAGAAUAAAUGAUGGAAAAAUCAUUCUGACGGUACCUAAUGAAUAAGCCCCGGCUAACUAUGUGCCAGCAGCCGCGGUAAUACAUAGGGGGCAAGCGUUAUCCGGAAUUAUUGGGCGUAAAGGGUGCGUAGGCGGUUAAAUAAGUUUAUGGUCUAAGUGCAAUGCUCAACAUUGUGAUGCUAUAAAAACUGUUUAGCUAGAGUAAGAUAGAGGCAAGUGGAAUUCCAUGUGUAGUGGUAAAAUGCGUAAAUAUAUGGAGGAACACCAGUAGCGAAGGCGGCUUGCUGGGUCUUUACUGACGCUGAGGCACGAAAGCGUGGGGAGCAAACAGGAUUAGAUACCCUGGUAGUCCACGCCGUAAACGAUGAGUACUAAACGUUGGGUAAAACCAGUGUUGAAGUUAACACAUUAAGUACUCCGCCUGAGUAGUACGUACGCAAGUAUGAAACUUAAAGGAAUUGACGGGACUCCGCACAAGCGGUGGAUCAUGUUGUUUAAUUCGAAGGUACCCGAAAAACCUCACCAGGUCUUGACAUGCUUCUGCAAAGCUGUAGAAACACAGUGGAGGUUAUCAGUUGCACAGGUGGUGCAUGGUUGUCGUCAGCUCGUGUCGUGAGAUGUUGGGUUAAGUCCCGCAACGAGCGCAACCCUUAUUGUUAGUUACCAGCACGUAAUGGUGGGGACUUUAGCAAGACUGCCAGUGAUAAAUUGGAGGAAGGUGGGGACGACGUCAAAUCAUCAUGCCCCUUAUGACCUGGGCUACAAACGUGAUACAAUGGCUGUUACAAAGGGUAGCUGAAGCGCAAGUUUUUGGCGAAUCUCAAAAAAACAGUCUCAGUUCGGAUUGAAGUCUGCAACUCGACUUCAUGAAGUUGGAAUCGCUAGUAAUCGCGAAUCAGCAUGUCGCGGUGAAUACGUUCUCGGGGUUUGUACACACCGCC